RNA transcript from Ostrea edulis (European flat oyster), 2610 nucleotides. It is a transcript of the gene named FMRFamide receptor-like, with no coding region annotated. The record is from RefSeq and is a predicted model, not a curated record. NCBI's taxonomy places the organism in Eukaryota, Metazoa, Mollusca, Bivalvia, Ostreida, Ostreidae. The transcript has 2 exons.
AAAUUGAAUAUCAACCGCGGUGCCGCUGACAACAUUUUACUCGUGGUUCUACUGUCUGAGCGGAUUAUUGUAAACAUGGAUAUUUAACAAAAGUUGGAUUAAGUGUGCAGGAACGGCUUAUCAUAAGUGUUAUUCCUAUGGUGCAUUAAAGAGAAAAAACUUUCAAGAAGGAAGCUGCCAGGCAGUAUGCAAUUAAAGACACAGUGAGAUCCACGUGUAGCUGUGAGACCCCUGGGGGUGACAUCGAUAUAUUGAAUAUAUAGCUUUACCCGUAUUGAAUUUACAUCACAGGAAGCAUCAGACACACCGAAUAUUCAUUGACAGAGGAAUGCUCAAAAUGCAGAACUCGACAAAUAUGACAGAAUUCACAGACGACGAGUAUAAGGAUUUUUAUGAGAGAUCGCAAUUCAUUUGUGGAAUGAUACUGUAUCCCGUCAUUUGUAUUCCCGGGUUGAUCGGAAACGCACUCUCCUUGAUAGUGCUGUCCAUGAAAAACAUGAAAACGUCAACGAACGCCUUCCUCGUCGCCCUUGCGAUUUCGGAUUCCAUAAAACUCAUCAACGACCUGAUUUACUUUAUAGUUUUAGUUCUACAGAGGACAAACCCGGCUGCGGCUGAUAUUGCAUACGUGAACAUCUACCCGUACGCACACUUUAUCUUCAACAUUUCUACUUGCGUUUCUUCGUGGUUAACGGUUUCCGUUGCAACAGAAAGGUUCAUACUGGUCUGUUACCCAAUCAAAGCAAAAACUGUCUGCACUAGAUUACGUGCCAUUGUUAUAAGUUUCAUAAUCUAUUUAGUGAUGAUUUCCAUUUCGUUACCUUGCGCUUUUCGAUAUGAAAAAACCAAAGAAAUUGUAGACAAUGUUACGAAAUGGGAUUUGAAGCUGACGGAUUUGUGGAACAAUGAAGAUUUCUUGUUGUAUUACACGUGGUCACUGAACUUUCUUAGAAGUAUUAUCGUUUUGAUCAUUCUCAUCAUACUUAAUGUAUGUAUUAUAUUUUCCCUUCGGAAAAUGCGCGCAAAUAAGAAAAACACUCAGAGGAACCGAGUCACGUUAAUGAUGAUCGUGAUCAUCAUGGUGUUUGUAAUCUGCAUUCUUCCGGACGCUAUCAUGUCCGUGCUCCGUCACGGCUACUACGAGGGCACCUAUUUGCAGAGGGGGAUCCGUGAGUUUUCAGACACACUUUUGACCAUAAAUGCUGCCGUAAAUUUCCUUAUAUAUUGCGUCUUCAGUAGAACAUUUAGGCAGAACUUUGCAGUUCUGUUGCCUGUUUGUCAGUUAAAGACAACGGGUGAAAGUAACCAACAGUUAUACAAGAAAGUGAACAGCAAAGAAACAACGGUCCGCGAUGCUCAAUCGGUGUAAACAAUCGGUGUAAACAAUCGGUGUAAACAAUCGAUGGAGAUUUUACCGGAUGGGAAAAUUUUACUGCCUUACACGGAAUCGUAGUCAAACACUAAUUAGUGCCAUUGAGCGAUUAGAAUUGGUGCUCCCUGUGGCAAUAUGCAGGCUGGAAUGGAGACAAGAAUGUCGUUGAACUUUGACAAUGGUGUUCAGGCAUUUGCUAAGUAAAUGUUUACUAAGAUUUUUGUUUUUUGCUUAUGUUACUUUUUCUGCGUGAGCCCGACUUUGAAGUUUGUUGCUUACAUGAUAUCACUAAGAAAGUAAUAAAACGCUACAUUUACAACACACAGAAUAAACGUCUGGUAAAUCAAUUUGACAACGAUGUCCUGAGAUCAAAGUGGAAUAUACACUGAUCCAGAUAACUGAUACAGAUAACUGCGACAUAUCGAAACGACAAUCGGGAUACUCAACAUUAAAGUAAAACUAGAUCAAGAAAGAAAGAUAGGCACGUCACGUGUUCAAUAAUUCGCUUUUGGGAUAAAAAUCAAAUAUUUUGAUUCAUUUUGAUUUGAUUCUCGAAUUAUAUCAAUCGUUACUUUUCGCAUAUUGAUACAAAGAGCAAACUUCUAGGCCGUGAUUUAUUUUGGGGGACAAAAGUCCCUUUUAAGUAUUAUCUAUUUUAUAAUCGUUUGAAAAUUCUGCUUUUCAUUCGACCGAGCCGUUGGUCGUUUGCAUUUGUCAUUUUACACAAUAUAUAAUGUAAAUGAAAUGUUGUUUAUAGAUUUUAUCAAAUGCAAUCAAUUCAUAAUUGCAAUCCACUUCGACUUCAUCUUAAAAUGUCUGUUUGUAUAAUGAAUGUGGAAAGGUUUAUCAAUGUAUUGCUUUAUACUUAUAUAAUUCAUUGAUAUAUUUGCAAGUGCCUCAUCAAAUUUUAAUAUAUAUCGAGAGCGACACAGCCGCAUUAUCAGAGUGCAAAUUCUGUGACGUUGAAAUGGACUUUUGUGUUCGCACAAUAGACUUUAUUGUGUUUAGACAUUUGGAAACUGGAAUAAAUCUUUUUAUCCAGCCAUAUUUAUAUAGAAUUGUGUAACGUCAAUUCCCGAACAGAUGAAAAGCAUUCCACGAACUAGACGAUUCCUGUUAAAUAUUUUCUUAUGUUAUCAGUGAAUGUUGAUGUAUAGAAACAAUUGCAUACACUAUUGAAGUUAAUUAAUGUGUAUAAAUACAUUACUAAUUUUAACGAAUGAAUGACAAAAAAUAGG